Molecule: ribosomal RNA, 484 nt
Filed under: uncultured bacterium
Lineage: Bacteria
Description: partial 16S ribosomal RNA
Rfam family: Bacterial small subunit ribosomal RNA
Source: RNAcentral
AUUGAACGCUGGCGGCAGGCCUAACACAUGCAAGUCGAGCGGAUGAAGGGAGCUUGCUCCUGGAUUCAGCGGCGGACGGGUGAGUAAUGCCUAUGAAUCUGCCUGGUAGUGGGGGAUAACGUCCGGAAACGGGCGCUAAUACCGCAUACGUCCUGAGGGAGAAAGUGGGGGAUCUUCGGACCUCACGCUAUCAGAUGAGCCUAGGUCGGAUUAGCUAGUUGGUGGGGUAAAUGCCUACCAAGGCGACGAUCCGUAACUGGUCUGAGAGGAUGAUCAGUCACACUGGAACUGAGACACGGACCAGACUCCUACGGGAGGCAGCAGUGGGGAAUAUUGGACAAUGGUCGAAAGCCUGAUCCAGGCAUGCCGCGUGUGUGAAGAAGGUGUUCGGAUUGUAAAGCACUUUAAGUUGGGAGGAAGGGCAGUAAGUUAAUACCUUGCUGUUUUGACGUUACCAACAGAAUAAGCACCGGCUAACUUCGUG